This is a non-coding RNA of Arvicanthis niloticus (Nile rat), 654 nucleotides long. The record is from RefSeq and is a predicted model, not a curated record. Lineage: Eukaryota; Metazoa; Chordata; Mammalia; Rodentia; Muridae.
GGUGACAGGAUGUUUUUGUUGGUAUUAGGAUAUCUGCACAUUCCACACCAGUGCAACAGCCUGCCGGCCAAAUUUUAAAAGCUCCUGGUGCCAGGAAAUAUCCAGCACAUUCUCUGCACUGGAAACCUUUGCACCAAGGAGAGCUAUGACUAUCUCAAGACUCUGGCUGGUGACUUUGAUGAGAGUCUGAAUUACCUGGAACAGAAGGUUGUGACUGUGGGGCAGUUCAAGAUCGGUCUGAUCCACGGACACCAAGUUAUUCCGUGGGGAGACAUGGCUAGUUUAGCCCUGCUGCAGAGGCAGUUUGAUGUGGACAUUCUUAUCUCAGGACACACACACAAAUUUGAAGCAUUUGAGCAUGAAAAUAAAUUCUACAUUAACCCAGGUUCUGCCACUGGAACCUAUAAUGCCUUGGAAACGAAUAUUAUUCCGUCAUUUGUGCUGAUGGAUAUCCAGGCUUCUACCGUGGUCACUUACGUCUAUCAGCUAAUUGGAGAUGACAUGAAAGUAGAACGAAUUGAGUAUAAAAAGUCGUAAAGCCAGGCCGGUCUCCGCCACUUUGUUUUGUUUUGUUUUGUUUUUUUCCUCAUUUUCUUGUACAAAUCAAAUAAUUAAACACUUAAGAGGCCCACAGUUAUAUCACUUUUAUAAUAU